RNAcentral lists this ribosomal RNA (253 nucleotides) under uncultured bacterium. RNAcentral describes it as "partial 16S ribosomal RNA". It matches the Rfam family "Bacterial small subunit ribosomal RNA", at positions 524 to 776 of the family's 1533-position model. The record is from RNAcentral.
UACGUAGGGGGCGAGCGUUGUCCAGAUUUAUUGGGCGUAAAGAGCGUGUAGGCGGCCAGGUAGGUCUGCUGUGAAAACUCGAGGCUCAACCUCGAGACGUCGGCGGAAACCAUCUGGCUAGAGUCCGGAAGAGGAGAGUGGAAUUCCUGGUGUAGCGGUGAAAUGCGUAGAUAUCAGGAGGAACACCGGUGGCGAAGGCGCACAUCUGGCCCGAUACUGACGCUGAGGCGCGAAAGCUAGGGGAGCAAACGGG